This is a long non-coding RNA of Poecilia latipinna (sailfin molly), 1378 nucleotides long. RefSeq lists it as uncharacterized. The transcript has 3 exons. The record is from RefSeq and is a predicted model, not a curated record. Lineage: Eukaryota; Metazoa; Chordata; Actinopteri; Cyprinodontiformes; Poeciliidae.
GCAGGCUUCCGUCGGUCUCCAUGGUAACGUUUUUGAUGCCGCCAUCGCUCGUUUGUUUUCGCUCUUCCUGCUUUUCUUCGACAUUUCAGGAUGAGGAAGAAGAAAAGCGACUUUAUUUGGUUUCUGUUAGACUUGAGUUUCACUCUCUGAGCGGUGAGUUUAAAUUGUUUCCAGAAAAGGUUCGGUAGCGCCGGUUCUGUUCAUGUGGACCAGGUCCGGUUCUUUUUAGGGUUCUAGAUUAGCUUUUUCAUGCGAACAGUCUCCGGAGUCUGGAGCUGAAGUUGGCCUCUGAUUGGGAGGUCGAUUAAAGUGUUAUUUCACUGAUUUUAAGGCUCAGGAAUCUGUUGAAGGUUCUGCUCCAGACGCAGGAGAAGACGCAGCAUGCAGGUGCUGCCGCCCUGGGGCCUCGACCUCCCUCUCCCUGCAGUGAUGCUGAUCGCCGUCAGUCUCUAUAUGAUGGUUCUGGGGGUCGGGCUGUGGGUCCGCUACUGCCUCAAGGUUGGUUCUGAUGACUCGUUGGAUCAGGGUUGGUUCUGAUGGUGCCCUGCUUUAAUAUUCACACCCUGAACAACCAUCAGAAUACGGUUCUAUUGGGUUUUUGAACCAGAAAAUAAUUUUUGGUUUUCGACAGUUUUACAAGUAAAAGCCUGAAAAGUGUGGCAGGCAUCCGUCUUCCGCACUCCUCUCCCCUGGUGUUUCCACGGCAACCUUUGGUCUGAAGCCAUCCAGCUGGUCUGAUCAGGAGGCAGAAGCGUGACUCAGACGAUGCAGCGCUAAUGAAGAAUGAUCAGACUUUAACUAGACACCUGAGGCCUCAUGUAUCAAACACUGUGCAGUUUUCACACUAAAACUUGGAGUUCGGACAAAUUUAGAAAAGAAAAUCUGGAUGUAUAAAAUCGUACGCACACUCUCAUAGACAGUAUAAGAUACAAACCAUCCUCUUACAAUCAUAACAUUUAAAAAACUGAAAACAACCUUCAUUACUAACAACCGAUUCCAAAACUAUACCGUAUAAACCAAAAAUCACAAUUCCAGUUGAUCAAUAUUAGAAAUACCCUAUUAAUAAAUUAAACGUACCUUGUGCCUCUGUCAUGGGGGCCUCUAAUAAUAAGAUUUAUUUAUAACACUGUUGCAACUUUUCUUCUGUUCUCUCUGUUGCCAAGCAGCCGCUGCACAACACAAACAGCGGAAGCUCUCCCAUCAAAAUAAAAGCAUUAAAUUCAAAAACCAGAAGUCAACUAACAAAAUAAAGGCAAUAAACGCUAAAAAAGAACACAACAAAUAAGGAGCUUACCCUGGGGUUAUUUACAAUAUAUUUUAUUUAAAAGGUGUUUUCAGGGCACAAAAAUAAUAAAUAAGAAACCCUCCAAAGUAAAGA